Molecule: long non-coding RNA, 1293 nt
Filed under: Cucumis sativus (cucumber)
Lineage: Eukaryota; Viridiplantae; Streptophyta; Magnoliopsida; Cucurbitales; Cucurbitaceae
Description: long non-coding RNA (CSAT_LNC002836)
Source: RNAcentral
ACAGAGACUUCGAAGGGAAGAAGGCUGAGAGAGGAAGAAGAAGAAGCCCAAGAAGUAUUGGUUGAAGAACCCAAGGAGUUUGCAAGAUCAACUUCUCUAUAGUUCACUAAGCACAUCUCUGGUUUUUUACUGAUUCCGAGAUACACAAAAAGAAUUAAGAUGUGAGGUUUAAAUUUACUGGAAGAUAAUCAUUUUUAAACAAACUUUAUGAAGAAAGCUUGAUCAAAUUCUGAUGUUCAUUAGGUGAAUUUUGACAAAGAAAAUAGGACAUGUGGUUUUCACGCGAAAUCAGAAAGUCUCUAAUUUGUUUAGUAUUUCAGGGUGUACCGAUGUAGUUAGGAUCUCUAUUUGAUAUGGUUAGAAUUAUUAUUCAAUUUACUACAACUUUUACGAAGAAACCGUGAACCAAAACCAACUAAAAAUAAGUUAAAUGGUAGGGACAAGCUAAAGGGGUCAUUGUACGCGCAAUUGUUGGAGUGGUUUAGUUUUGAGGGAUACCUGAGAUUAUACACAAGGAAUCAGAUUUAUAUGUCUUGAGGUAAGUUUUAUAGGACCUCAAAAUAAAGAUUUGAACGUAAAGAAAUCUCAUUUUGGUUAAGUAGUGGAAGAGUUAUGAUUAUUUGAAUUGUGUGCUGCGAAUCUGGAAAAUUCUCAGAAAUGUGUAGAGUAUGGAUUAUUAUUUUUAAGGAUAGACUUCAUUAGCAAUAUCCGUAGGGAGCUAUGUCAAGCAUAAUAUUUGAAGAUUUUAAUAUUUAGGUUUCUAAUACUUGGUUCUGAUUGUUUGACAAGCCAAGAGGAAAUAUGUCGGAUUUACACAUCGAAAAACUAGUCUUAGACUGUGAGUGACCAAAACCAGAUUUGAAUUUUUUUUAUUUUCUCCAAAUUAUUAAGUAUGAUUGACUGAUCUACACGUUUUUCCUUCUGAAUACUAGAAAUACUAGUUGUGGAAAAACCAAAAUUCUGAAACCAAAGCUCAACACAAUACACUUCAUUUAACCCUUAGUUUUUCCUUCUGAAUAUUAGUCCCUCUCCUUUUCAAGGUGAAUUAAUAUAAUUCUCUGCACAUUGUUUGUUCUUCAUUUAAUCCCUGAAAUGAUUGAAUGUUUCAUGCAAUGUCUUAUUUAUGUUAUAUAUGUGUUAAUUCAUAAGUUUGCUUUUGUGUAUAGUUUUUCUCUUCACUCUAAGUUUUAGACUUCAAGCUUAUGCUAAUGGAGAUGGUUAUGCUUUUGUGUAUGUAGAUUCUUUUGGACAAUAUUCAAGCAAUGGAAGGUGAAACGUAUUACAAGCAAUGGA